UCUCAACAAAAUGAUUGAUACGCUAAUUAAUAAAACAUGUCAAAGACUUUUCACUAAUGGCAAAAUUUACACCCAACUACAAUUUUUAUUCUUUUUUUUUUUUUAAUUUCUGUUUACGUGAACAGUACUGUUCACGUAUGACGUCACUGUUCAUCGUGAAUAGUAAUUACUGUUCACUCAUUAUUUUAUUUUAUUAUUAUUUUUUUUAACAUCCUAUUUAUACUUAUGCAGUAAGUAAAAACGUGACAUCACUUUCACCCAAUUAAUACCAUCAAUUUGGGUCUCAUUAAUUACACAUGCAUGGCCUCAAUCAAUUACCCAUCUUGAAAAGAAACAACUUGACGUACAGUACACCCAAAAUUCUCAAUUCAUGUGAUAAGAUCAACCAUACUCUAUUAUGUGUUAUUCUGAAUAAUUGAUUAUGAAUAAAGUUUUGGUUCCACCAAUAUAAAAUAAUGGAAAUAAACCAUAAAAACAUAUCAAAAAGAAAAACUGUAUCCCAAAUCUUGAAUCACUGAUCCACAUAAUAAUAAAAUUAAAACAAAAGCUAAAAAUAAAAUCUUUGGUCACGUUA
This 574-nucleotide long non-coding RNA is filed under the name Olea europaea subsp. europaea. The record is from RNAcentral. Lineage: Eukaryota; Viridiplantae; Streptophyta; Magnoliopsida; Lamiales; Oleaceae.